Molecule: ribosomal RNA, 603 nt
Filed under: uncultured bacterium
Lineage: Bacteria
Description: bacterial SSU rRNA
Rfam family: Bacterial small subunit ribosomal RNA
Source: RNAcentral
UAAUGCAGUCGAACGCGAAGCAUCUUCGGAUGUUAGUAGAGUGGCAAACGGGUGAGUAACGCGUGGGAAUAUACCUUAUAGUACGGAAUAGCCUCGGGAAACUGGGAUUAAUACCGUAUACGCCCUUAGGGGGAAAGAUUUAUCGCUAUAAGAUUAGCCCGCGUCAGAUUAGCUUGUUGGUGGGGUAAUGGCCUACCAAGGCAACGAUCUGUAGCUGGUCUGAGAGGACGAUCAGCCACAUUGGGACUGAGAUACGGCCCAAACUCCUACGGGAGGCAGCAGUAGGGAAUAUUGGACAAUGGGCGAAAGCCUGAUCCAGCAAUGCCGCGUGAAUGAUGAAGGCCUUAGGGUUGUAAAGUUCUUUUAGUGGGGAAGAUAAUGACGGUACCCACAGAAAAAGCACCGGCUAACUCCGUGCCAGCAGCCGCGGUAAUACGGAGGGUGCAAGCGUUGUUCGGAAUUACUGGGCGUAAAGCGCGCGUAGGCGGCUUAGUAAGUUGGGAGUGAAAUCCCGGGGCUCAACUCCGGAAUUGCUUUCAAAACUAUUAAGCUAGAGUAUGGCAGGGACAGUGGAAUUCCUAGUGUAGAGGUGAAAUUCGUAGA